This 1462-nucleotide ribosomal RNA is filed under the name Bacillus safensis. RNAcentral describes it as "bacterial SSU rRNA". It matches the Rfam family "Bacterial small subunit ribosomal RNA". The record is from RNAcentral. Lineage: Bacteria; Bacillati; Bacillota; Bacilli; Caryophanales; Bacillaceae.
CUAUACAUGCAAGUCGAGCGGACAGAAGGGAGCUUGCUCCCGGAUGUUAGCGGCGGACGGGUGAGUAACACGUGGGUAACCUGCCUGUAAGACUGGGAUAACUCCGGGAAACCGGAGCUAAUACCGGAUAGUUCCUUGAACCGCAUGGUUCAAGGAUGAAAGACGGUUUCGGCUGUCACUUACAGAUGGACCCGCGGCGCAUUAGCUAGUUGGUGGGGUAAUGGCUCACCAAGGCGACGAUGCGUAGCCGACCUGAGAGGGUGAUCGGCCACACUGGGACUGAGACACGGCCCAGACUCCUACGGGAGGCAGCAGUAGGGAAUCUUCCGCAAUGGACGAAAGUCUGACGGAGCAACGCCGCGUGAGUGAUGAAGGUUUUCGGAUCGUAAAGCUCUGUUGUUAGGGAAGAACAAGUGCGAGAGUAACUGCUCGCACCUUGACGGUACCUAACCAGAAAGCCACGGCUAACUACGUGCCAGCAGCCGCGGUAAUACGUAGGUGGCAAGCGUUGUCCGGAAUUAUUGGGCGUAAAGGGCUCGCAGGCGGUUUCUUAAGUCUGAUGUGAAAGCCCCCGGCUCAACCGGGGAGGGUCAUUGGAAACUGGGAAACUUGAGUGCAGAAGAGGAGAGUGGAAUUCCACGUGUAGCGGUGAAAUGCGUAGAGAUGUGGAGGAACACCAGUGGCGAAGGCGACUCUCUGGUCUGUAACUGACGCUGAGGAGCGAAAGCGUGGGGAGCGAACAGGAUUUAGAUACCCUGGUAGUCCACGCCGUAAACGAUGAGUGCUAAGUGUUAGGGGGUUUCCGCCCCUUAGUGCUGCAGCUAACGCAUUAAGCACUCCGCCUGGGGAGUACGGUCGCAAGACUGAAACUCAAAGGAAUUGACGGGGGCCCGCACAAGCGGUGGAGCAUGUGGUUUAAUUCGAAGCAACGCGAAGAACCUUACCAGGUCUUGACAUCCUCUGACAACCCUAGAGAUAGGGCUUUCCCUUCGGGGACAGAGUGACAGGUGGUGCAUGGUUGUCGUCAGCUCGUGUCGUGAGAUGUUGGGUUAAGUCCCGCAACGAGCGCAACCCUUGAUCUUAGUUGCCAGCAUUCAGUUGGGCACUCUAAGGUGACUGCCGGUGACAAACCGGAGGAAGGUGGGGAUGACGUCAAAUCAUCAUGCCCCUUAUGACCUGGGCUACACACGUGCUACAAUGGACAGAACAAAGGGCUGCAAGACCGCAAGGUUUAGCCAAUCCCAUAAAUCUGUUCUCAGUUCGGAUCGCAGUCUGCAACUCGACUGCGUGAAGCUGGAAUCGCUAGUAAUCGCGGAUCAGCAUGCCGCGGUGAAUACGUUCCCGGGCCUUGUACACACCGCCCGUCACACCACGAGAGUUUGCAACACCCGAAGUCGGUGAGGUAACCUUUAUGGAGCCAGCCGCCGAAGGUGGGGCAGAUGAUUGGGGUGAAGUCGUAACA